Molecule: ribosomal RNA, 372 nt
Filed under: uncultured Oscillospira sp.
Lineage: Bacteria; Bacillati; Bacillota; Clostridia; Eubacteriales; Oscillospiraceae
Description: bacterial SSU rRNA
Rfam family: Bacterial small subunit ribosomal RNA
Source: RNAcentral
CCCUGCCCCUUUCGAGGGGGACGAACAGUUGGAAACGACUAGCUAAUACCGCAUAAUGUAUUCGCAUGGCAUCAUGUGAAUACCAAAGAUUUAUCGCCGAGGGAUGGGCUCGCGUCUGAUUAGUUAGUUGGUGAGGUAACGGCUCACCAAGACUGCGAUCAGUAGCCGGACUGAGAGGUUGAACGGCCACAUUGGGACUGAGAUACGGCCCAGACUCCUACGGGAGGCAGCAGUGGGGAAUAUUGGGCAAUGGGCGCAAGCCUGACCCAGCAACGCCGCGUGAAGGAAGAAGGCUUUCGGGUUGUAAACUUCUUUUACCGGGGACGAAGAAAGUGACGGUACCCGGAGAAUAAGCCACGGCUAACUACGUGC